RNAcentral lists this ribosomal RNA (484 nucleotides) under uncultured bacterium. RNAcentral's name for it is "partial 16S ribosomal RNA". It matches the Rfam family "Bacterial small subunit ribosomal RNA", at positions 30 to 507 of the family's 1533-position model. The record is from RNAcentral.
AUUGAACGCUGGCGGCAGGCCUAACACAUGCAAGUCGAGCGGAUGAAGGGAGCUUGCUCCUGGAUUCAGCGGCGGACGGGUGAGUAAUGCCUAGGAAUCUGCCUGGUAGAGGGGGAUAACGUCCGGAAACGGGCGCUAAUACCGCAUACGUCCUGAGGGAGAAAGUGGGGGAUCUUCGGACCUCACGCUAUCAGAUGAGCCUAGGUCGGAUUAGCUAGUUGGUGGGGUAAAGGCCUACCAAGGCGACGAUCCGUAACUGGUCUGAGAGGAUGAUCAGUCACACUGGAACUGAGACACGGUCCAGACUCCUACGGGAGGCAGCAGUGGGGAAUAUUGGACAAUGGGCGAAAGCCUGAUCCGCCCAUGCCCCGUGUGUGAAGAAGGUCUUCGGAUUGUAAAGCACUUUAAGUUGGGAGGAAGGGCAGUAAGUUAAUACCUUGCUGUUUUGACGUUACCAACAGAAUAAGCACCGGCUAACUUCGUG